RNAcentral lists this ribosomal RNA (438 nucleotides) under Triticum aestivum (bread wheat). RNAcentral describes it as "partial small subunit ribosomal RNA". The record is from RNAcentral. Lineage: Eukaryota; Viridiplantae; Streptophyta; Magnoliopsida; Poales; Poaceae.
AUGCUCUCAGUUACUGUCACGUGUCGCACUCUAGACGCUUUCUUCGGAUUUUUUUCACACGUUUUUGUCUUUUUAGAUGGGUUUUUCUCGUUUUUCUCGGCUUUUCACUGGUCUGCCUUAACUGUCGAACCAAAAAAAAAUCAAAUCUUUUUACACGAAAAACGCAUUUUUCUUAUUUUUCAUUCACUAGAGGCAUGGUCGUGCCUCUCGAAAACAGAAAAGAAUGCUUUUUUUUCUUUUUCCUUCCGUAGAGGCACGGUUUUUGCUUCUGUGCCUCUCGGAAAUGAAAAAAUUUGCAUUUUCCCUCCUGUGAGAAGCACGGUUUUGCUUUCACGACAGGCACGGCCGUGCCUCUCGAAAAUGGGAAAAACGUGUUUUUUCAUUUUUUUUUCUCUUUCGCGAGAGGCAUGUUUUUGCUUCCGUGCCUCUCGGAAAUGA